RNAcentral lists this ribosomal RNA (496 nucleotides) under uncultured bacterium. RNAcentral describes it as "partial 16S ribosomal RNA". It matches the Rfam family "Bacterial small subunit ribosomal RNA", at positions 30 to 523 of the family's 1533-position model. The record is from RNAcentral.
AUUGAACGCUGGCGGAAUGCUUUACACAUGCAAGUCGAACGGUAGAGGGGGCAACCCCUCGAGAGUGGCGAACGGGUGAGUAAUAUAUCGGAACGUGCCCAGUCGUGGGGGAUAACGUAGCGAAAGUUACGCUAAUACCGCAUACAAUCUAAGGAUGAAAGCGGGGGAUCGCAAGACCUCGCGCGAUUGGAGCGGCCGAUAGCAGAUUAGGUAGUUGGUGGGGUAAAGGCUCACCAAGCCAACGGUCUGUAGCUGGUCUGAGAGGACGACCAGCCACACUGGAACUGAGACACGGUCCAGACUCCUACGGGAGGCAGCAGUGGGGAAUUUUGGACAAUGGCCGCAAGUCUGAUCCAGCCAUUCCGCGUGCAGGAUGAAGGCCCUCGGGUUGUAAACUGCUUUUGUACGGAACGAAAAGGUCUCUCUUAAUACGGGGGACUCAUGACGGUACCGUAAGAAUAAGCACCGGCUAACUACGUGCCAGCAGCCGCCGUAA